Molecule: ribosomal RNA, 253 nt
Filed under: uncultured bacterium
Lineage: Bacteria
Description: partial 16S ribosomal RNA
Rfam family: Bacterial small subunit ribosomal RNA
Source: RNAcentral
UACGUAGGGUGCAAGCGUUAAUCGGAAUUACUGGGCGUAAAGCGUGCGCAGGCGGUUUUGUAAGUCUGUCGUGAAAGCCCCGGGCUCAACCUGGGAAUUGCGAUGGAGACUGCAAGGCUUGAAUCUGGCAGAGGGGGGUAGAAUUCCACGUGUAGCAGUGAAAUGCGUAGAGAUGUGGAGGAACACCGAUGGCGAAGGCAGCCCUCUGGGCCAACACUGACGCUCAGGCACGAAAGCGUGGGGAGCAAACAGG